AGCAGCCGCGGUAAUUCCAGCUCCAAUAGCGUAUAUUAAAGUUGUUGCAGUUAAAAAGCUCGUAGUUGAAUUUCGGGAUCAAUAUGUCGGUCGUGCCUUCGGUACGUACUGGUAUCAUUGGUCUCUCCUUUCUGACGAACCAUGAUGUCAUUAAUUUGGUGUUAUGGGGAGUUAGGACUGUUACUUUGAAAAAUUAGAGUGUUUAAAGCAGGCUUUAGCUUGAAUACAUUAGCAUGGAAUAAUGAAAUAGGACGUUCGAACCUAUUUUGUUGGUUUCUAGGAUCAACGUAAUGAUUAAUAGGGAUAGUUGGGGGCAUUAGUAUUCAAUUGUCAGAGGUGAAAUUCUUGGAUUUAUUGAAGACUAACUACUGCGAAAGCAUUUGCCAAGGAUGUUUUCAUUAAUCAAGAACGAAAGUUAGGGGAUCGA
RNAcentral lists this ribosomal RNA (427 nucleotides) under uncultured Glomus. RNAcentral describes it as "SSU rRNA". It matches the Rfam family "Eukaryotic small subunit ribosomal RNA", at positions 569 to 1001 of the family's 1831-position model. Lineage: Eukaryota; Fungi; Glomeromycota; Glomeromycetes; Glomerales; Glomeraceae. The record is from RNAcentral.